GACGAACGCUGGCGGCGUGCUUAACACAUGCAAGUCGAACGGAAAGGCCCUGCUUUUGUGGGGUGCUCGAGUGGCGAACGGGUGAGUAACACGUGAGUAACCUGCCCUUGACUUUGGGAUAACUUCAGGAAACUGGGGCUAAUACCGGAUAGGAGCUCCUGCUGCAUGGUGGGGGUUGGAAAGUUUCGGCGGUUGGGGAUGGACUCGCGGCUUAUCAGCUUGUUGGUGGGGUAGUGGCUUACCAAGGCUCUGACGGGUAGCCGGCCUGAGAGGGUGACCGGCCACAUUGGGACUGAGAUACGGCCCAGACUCCUACGGGAGGCAGCAGUGGGGAAUAUUGCACAAUGGGCGGAAGCCUGAUGCAGCAACGCCGCGUGCGGGAUGACGGCCUUCGGGUUGUAAACCGCUUUCGCCUGUGACGAAGCGUGAGUGACGGUAAUGGGUAAAGAAGCACCGGCCAACUACGUG
Molecule: ribosomal RNA, 468 nt
Filed under: uncultured bacterium
Lineage: Bacteria
Description: partial 16S ribosomal RNA
Rfam family: Bacterial small subunit ribosomal RNA
Source: RNAcentral